GCCGACGUAGCUCAGCUGGUAGAGCAACUGAUUUGUAAUCAGUAGGUCACCGGUUCGAUCCCGGUCGUCGGCU
RNAcentral lists this transfer RNA (73 nucleotides) under bacterium. Its description in RNAcentral is "tRNA-Thr". It matches the Rfam family "tRNA". From Rfam's summary of the family: Transfer RNA (tRNA) molecules are approximately 80 nucleotides in length. Their secondary structure includes four short double-helical elements and three loops (D, anti-codon, and T loops). RNAcentral also lists the same sequence under 3 other names. The record is from RNAcentral.